This is a long non-coding RNA of Oreochromis niloticus (Nile tilapia), 1585 nucleotides long. RefSeq lists it as uncharacterized. The record is from RefSeq and is a predicted model, not a curated record. NCBI's taxonomy places the organism in Eukaryota, Metazoa, Chordata, Actinopteri, Cichliformes, Cichlidae. The transcript is spliced from 2 exons.
UUUCAAAAAUACCCAGGUACGUGUGGACGUAGCCCAAGAAAAACCGAAAUCCGUCUCUUCAAGCCAUGUGAGAAUAUUCAGUCUGUGUCUGGGGCAGCAGCAACAAAAGGAAACACAGGAAGAAGGUGCUGUGUUCUGGACUGUUGGAGAACAGAGUUUAUGUUCAUUGCACAGCUUGUUGCUUGUCCUGCAGACCUUUACACAUCUGGUUCAGAUCGGGCUCAGAUCACAUUCAGACCAUAAACAAAGCACUGUGGAGUUCAUCUGGAAAUGCACCAAGACUACCACCUCCAAAGGGUCUCAGGGCGGUUGUUUUGGUCCAUACCUGAGUGAGAUUACUCUGUUCACACUUGCACUAACCAGCUGCACCAAGAGAGAAAACAAGAGAGAGUUCAAUUUCAACUGCAGACAUGAAAGCACCCUUAGAGUAAUCUAGUCCAGUGCUAUUCUUGGGCAGGGAGGUAUUUUGUGGGAGCUAGUGUCACUCUAUCCUCUCCUCUCACAAUAAUACUGAACAUUUGUUCCUAAUCUCGUCCACAUUUGAAGUUUCAAAUUAUGUCACCUGUAAGGUGAAUCUGGAUAUAUGACACAGGCAUAUCAUGACAGAUACUACAACACAAGGCCCCAUGUCUCCCAAACAGCAUCUGCUAAGACUAAUAAUUAAAUAAAAAUUAUAACUAAUAAUUUCUCAAACUAACCCAGAUUAGGUCCAUAAAAAACCUAAUUUGAGCAUUUUAACAGUCAGUUAAUAGUAACACCUAACAAAAAAGAGAAAAUUAACAAAUUUACUCAAAGAUACGCCCGUUUUACAGAGGUAGCUUACUCUCAUAGCUGCACCACUAAACCAUUAGAUAUUGUUUUGUGGUGAAAAAACCCCUUAAACUACCCAGGAGUCCCUGUAUCAUAGAUAUAUUUAGUCUCUUAACACCCAGGCUUCUAUUAGAGUCAUAGCAUAACAAUUACAACAGUUACAACAAGCAGCAAAAGUCCCUGAGAGGUGCAUAAUAACUGAACACAAACGCUACCCUCACAGUUUUUUAAAACAAACAAAUCCUAAAGAAUUUCGGGGUGUGGCAGAACACAGUAUUUUCCAGGAGAGGCAGCUCCCUUCAGGCAAUACCAGCGUAACUGUGUCAUUACUAUGACUUAGAUCAAGCCACACAUGGGUGGAAUGCAGAAGUACAGUUCAUAUGAUUGCCAAGGUGUCAUGGUCCCCGUACCUCGCCGGCUGACAACAGUCAGGCGCUAUGUGUGUUGUUUAUUCUCUUCUCUUGCACCUGCUCUCUCUUUCUUUCUCGUCCUCUCCCUCUCUCUCUUUUCCCUGCCGAGGCGGAGCUCAGUAUGGGCUCCCGCCUCUGGCCCACGCACCUGGGGAUGAUCAGCACACCUGCCGCUGAUUACCAGAAUUAGAGUCCUACUUAAGAUGGCGAGUCUGCUCUACUCGUCGCUGGAUCGUUGAGCCAUCAGCAUUCCCCCCGGACCCGUUUCCCGGUGCACUGUGAUUGAACGUGAGCAAGAGUGGUUGAGGAAAGAAGAGGAGCUGUGUGUGUUUGCGAGAGCUGUAUGGAAAUCUCCCCUCCCUGGA